UACGAAGGGGGCUAGCGUUGUUCGGAUUUACUGGGCGUAAAGCGCGUGUAGGCGGGUCGUUAAGUUGGAGGUGAAAUCCCGAGGCUCAACCUCGGAACUGCCUUCAAAACUGGCGACCUGGACUCAAGGAGAGGCAAGUGGAAUUGCGAGUGUAGAGGUGAAAUUCGUAGAUAUUCGCAGGAACACCAGUGGCGAAGGCGACUUGCUGGACUUGUAGUGACGCUGAGACGCGAAAGCGUGGGGAGCAAACAGG
This 253-nucleotide ribosomal RNA is filed under the name uncultured bacterium. RNAcentral's name for it is "partial 16S ribosomal RNA". It matches the Rfam family "Bacterial small subunit ribosomal RNA", at positions 524 to 776 of the family's 1533-position model. The record is from RNAcentral.